GCUCCUCCAGCAAAGCUGCAAGAAUAAAGGUCUGCGAUGGUGUGCGAAUUUGGCCUACCAGAAACAGCUGAUCUCUCCCCAAUCCAAGAAUUGAGAGAAGGUUUUGACUUGAGCAACCUUUUAAAAGUAUCAUUCGUCUUUUGCCAUAUAUUCGCUUGAAAAGCAAAAAAUACAUAUUACAUCAGCUUUGAAAAAUACCCGAUUUCCAGGAAGAAGUACUUCGACGUUCGUUUGAAACAGCUUAAGCGCGUAUUUAGUCUGAAUUUAUCUGGAGCAGUAUCCUUAAGCGUCUAACUCAUCGCAUCCAAUCGUUGCUGUGUACAGCAUGCAGUUAAAUUUCGAAGAGUAUCCCUUGGGCAUCGCAAGGACAUUGCAACGAGUGCAAUCUGCGCCUGCAGGCGUGACUCCCACGCCAUUUAAUCAACAUUAGUGGAACCACAGUACACAGUGUCCUCGAAUGUGCAAGUGUGGGUGUGUGUGUGGGUGUGGAAGGACGAAAAGGAAAACAUACACCAAAUGGCAUAUUAAUUGCUGUCAGCUUGCCGGUUUUUAACAGCAUUUUGGUUGCCGGUAACAAAUGAACUUGAAAAACGUUUGCAGCGUAUAAGUGUAAGCAAGUUGGCCACUUUAAUAAAUAAUACACUAAUUGCUAUUUAAA
Molecule: long non-coding RNA, 658 nt
Organism: Drosophila yakuba
Lineage: Eukaryota; Metazoa; Arthropoda; Insecta; Diptera; Drosophilidae
Exons: 2
Source: RefSeq, a predicted model, not a curated record